AAACGUACCUUGCGCCCGCCAGUAUUCUAGCAGGUAUGCCUAUUCGAGUGUUAUUUUAACCAUCAAGCCCCGGGCUUAUGUUGGGGAUCUGCAGCUGCCCGUAGGCCCUGAAAACCAGUGGCGGGCUCGCUAUUACUCCAAGCGUAGUAGUACUUGUAUCUCGCUUAGGGCGUACCGCGGGCUCCAGCCGUUAAACCGCCUCUUUAGUACCUAAAGGUUGACCUUGGAUUAGGUAGGAGGACCCGCUGAACUUAA
RNAcentral lists this unclassified non-coding RNA (255 nucleotides) under uncultured Sordariales. RNAcentral describes it as "sequence contains ITS2". The record is from RNAcentral. Lineage: Eukaryota; Fungi; Ascomycota; Sordariomycetes; Sordariales.